Molecule: non-coding RNA, 69 nt
Organism: Rattus norvegicus (Norway rat)
Lineage: Eukaryota; Metazoa; Chordata; Mammalia; Rodentia; Muridae
Source: Rfam
GGGGAUUUAGCUCAGUGGUAGAGCGCUUGCCUAGCAAGCACAAGGCCCUGGGUUCCAUCCCCAGCUCCG